Molecule: unclassified non-coding RNA, 375 nt
Filed under: soil metagenome
Description: partial contains 5.8S ribosomal RNA, internal transcribed spacer 2, and large subunit ribosomal RNA
Rfam family: 5.8S ribosomal RNA (bases 1-120)
Source: RNAcentral
GAUGAAGAACGCAGCGAAAUGCGAUAAGUAAUGUGAAUUGCAGAAUUCAGUGAAUCAUCGAAUCUUUGAACGCACAUUGCGCCCGCCAGUAUUCUGGCGGGCAUGCCUGUUCGAGCGUCAUUUCAACCCUCAAGACCCCUUCGGGGGACUUGGUGUUGGGGACCGGCACAGGGGCCUGCCUGCUUGUCUUGCAGCGCCCUCGCCGCCCCCGAAAUGAAUUGGCGGCCUCGUCGCGGCCUCCCCUGCGUAGUAGCACAAACCUCGCAACGGGAACGUGACGGCGGCCACUGCCGUAAAACAACCCAAUUUUAUUAGAGUUGACCUCGAAUCAGGUAGGAAUACACGCUGAACUUAAGCAUAUCAAUAAGCGGAGGA